GGGUUAUAGCUCAGUUGGGAGAGCGACAGGUUCGCAAUCUGUAGGUCAGGAGUUCAAACCUCCUUAGCUCC
This 71-nucleotide transfer RNA is filed under the name human gut metagenome. It matches the Rfam family "tRNA". Rfam says of the family: Transfer RNA (tRNA) molecules are approximately 80 nucleotides in length. Their secondary structure includes four short double-helical elements and three loops (D, anti-codon, and T loops). Further hydrogen bonds mediate the characteristic L-shaped molecular structure. tRNAs have two regions of fundamental functional importance: the anti-codon, which is responsible for specific mRNA codon recognition, and the 3' end, to which the tRNAs corresponding amino acid is attached (by aminoacyl-tRNA synthetases). tRNAs cope with the degeneracy of the genetic code in two manners: having more than one tRNA (with a specific anti-codon) for a particular amino acid; and 'wobble' base-pairing, i.e. permitting non-standard base-pairing at the 3rd anti-codon position. The record is from RNAcentral.